AAGCGCCGGGCAUUGGCAUCGGGGCGGAACAGGUUCACGCCGCCGUCGUCGCGCUUGUAGGCCUUGAGGCCUUCGAAGAUUUCCUGAGCGUAGUGCAGGACGGCUGUGGCCGGAUCGAGCGAGAAAUUCGCGCGGGACUCGACGCGCGCGCCAUACCAGCCCUUCGCCUGGCUGUAGCGGACCACAGCCAGNNNNNNNNGGUGAAAACCCGCCCGAAGCCGGGGUCGACGAGCUUUGCGAUGCGCUCCUGAUCCGGCGUC
This 260-nucleotide unclassified non-coding RNA is filed under the name Hevea brasiliensis (rubber tree). Lineage: Eukaryota; Viridiplantae; Streptophyta; Magnoliopsida; Malpighiales; Euphorbiaceae. The record is from RNAcentral.